GAGAGUCCAGUAUUCUUUUAAUGGCAAGGAACCAAUUCCCAUUAGAAACUGUAGCCUUAUACGUUGCUCCCAUCUUUCCUAUCCCUAUGAUUUUGUUUUUGCUGAAAUUGUUUGCUGCCAUGCUCAGUUCUUCAAAAUCCAUUCUUGUAACCAAGCUCUCUAACAUAUAAAUCAUUCUUGCUUGCUUGCUGUAGGUGCUUCUCAUUUGUCAAUUUCCUAUUAGCAACAACUUCUCUUUCUUUGUUUCCCUUCCUUUCCAAGUAAACCAAACUUGCCAUAAAAACAAAGGCUAGUAGUGC
RNAcentral lists this unclassified non-coding RNA (299 nucleotides) under Hevea brasiliensis (rubber tree). Lineage: Eukaryota; Viridiplantae; Streptophyta; Magnoliopsida; Malpighiales; Euphorbiaceae. The record is from RNAcentral.